This 72-nucleotide transfer RNA is filed under the name Camelus bactrianus (Bactrian camel). It matches the Rfam family "tRNA". From Rfam's summary of the family: Transfer RNA (tRNA) molecules are approximately 80 nucleotides in length. Their secondary structure includes four short double-helical elements and three loops (D, anti-codon, and T loops). The record is from Rfam by way of RNAcentral. RNAcentral also lists the same sequence under 3 other names. Lineage: Eukaryota; Metazoa; Chordata; Mammalia; Artiodactyla; Camelidae.
GAGGGUGUAGCUCAGUGGCAGAGUGCAUGCUUAGCAUGCAUGAGGUCCUGAGCUCAAUCCUCAGUACCUCUA